This 634-nucleotide unclassified non-coding RNA is filed under the name Peltigera didactyla. RNAcentral describes it as "sequence contains ITS1, 5.8S rRNA gene and ITS2". The stretch from base 248 to 402 matches the Rfam family "5.8S ribosomal RNA". The record is from RNAcentral. Lineage: Eukaryota; Fungi; Ascomycota; Lecanoromycetes; Peltigerales; Peltigeraceae.
UUUCCGUAGGUGAACCUGCGGAAGGAUCAUUAAUGAGGGCGUGUGGGCUAAUAUCCCCGCGAACCUUAAUCCUUUGUUUACUACCCCGUGGUUUUUUCUUGGGCCCGGUAUGGAUUUUUUUAUUUUUAAAAAAGUCUUUGUGAUGUCGCCUAGAAUGGUUGCCACAGCGCCCCCCAAAAAAACAAAACCAGAUCAAAAAAAAUUCUAAUACAUUAUUGAUGUCUGAAGCAAAAUUUAAAACAAGCAAAACUUUCAACAACGGAUCUCUUGGUUCCGGCAUCGAUGAAGAACGCAGCGAAAUGCGAUAAGUAAUGUGGACCGCAGUACUCAGCGACUCAUCGAAUCUUUGAACGCACAUUGCGCCCCUUGGUAUCACCAAAGGGCACACCUGUCCGAGCGUCAUCAUACAUCGUAUCAGGCCGAGGGCCCGGCUUGCAUUGGGCUUUGUCUACUUUAUGUAGAAGUCUAAAAGUUAGUGGCGGUUAAGUUAGGCAUUCCAGCGUAGUAGUUAUAUUAGCUGUUGAAAUGUCUUUCACUUAAUAGUCAACACCUCCAUGGUUUCUGCUGGCAGAGACCUGGUUGGAUUUUAUCAAUUAUUGACCUCGGAUCAGGUGAGGAUACCCGCUGAAUUUAA